RNAcentral lists this non-coding RNA (184 nucleotides) under Megasphaera cerevisiae. RNAcentral also lists the same sequence under 1 other name. The record is from RNAcentral. Lineage: Bacteria; Bacillati; Bacillota; Negativicutes; Veillonellales; Veillonellaceae.
AAUACAUAUUGCAAGUCAGGUGUCGUAAUAGACUCAAUAGAGAAGUCCGGUGUAAAACCGGCGCGGUCCCGCCGCUGUAAGGAGGAGGUCUGCUGCAUAAAUGUCACUGUGCCAUAUGAGCAUGGGAAGGCGCUGCAGACUGAUGAAUCCGAGCCAGAAGAACUGCCUGACUGAUAAUCACCGA